UACGUAGGGUGCAAGCGUUACUCGGAAUUACUGGGCGUAAAGCGUGCGUAGGUGGUGAGUUAAGUCUGAUGUGAAAUCCCCGGGCUCAACCUGGGAAUGGCAUUGGAUACUGGCUCGCUAGAGUGCGGUAGAGGGUGGUGGAAUUCCCGGUGUAGCGGUGGAAUGCGUAGAGAUCGGGAAGAACAUCAGUGGCGAAGGCGGCCUGCUGGGCUGUUGCUGACGCUGAGGCGCGACAGCGUGGGGAGCAAACAGG
This 253-nucleotide ribosomal RNA is filed under the name uncultured bacterium. RNAcentral describes it as "partial 16S ribosomal RNA". It matches the Rfam family "Bacterial small subunit ribosomal RNA", at positions 524 to 776 of the family's 1533-position model. The record is from RNAcentral.